AACGAACGCUGGCGGCAGGCCUAACACAUGCAAGUCGAACGCCCCGCAAGGGGAGUGGCAGACGGGUGAGUAACGCGUGGGAACCUACCUAGUGGUACGGAACAGCUCGGGGAAACUUGAGCUAAUACCGUAUACGCCCUCAGGGGGAAAGAUUUAUCGCCAUUAGAUGGGCCCGCGUCGGAUUAGCUUGUUGGUGAGGUAAUGGCUCACCAAGGCGACGAUCCGUAGCUGGUCUGAGAGGAUGAUCAGCCACACUGGGACUGAGACACGGCCCAGACUCCUACGGGAGGCAGCAGUGAGGAAUAUUGGACAAUGGGCGCAAGCCUGAUCCAGCCAUGCCGCGUGAGUGAAGAAGGCCUUAGGGUUGUAAAGCUCUUUCGACGGGGAAGAUAAUGACGGUACCCGUAGAAGAAGCCCCGGCUAACUUCGUGCCAGCCGCCGCCGUAA
Molecule: ribosomal RNA, 447 nt
Filed under: uncultured bacterium
Lineage: Bacteria
Description: partial 16S ribosomal RNA
Rfam family: Bacterial small subunit ribosomal RNA
Source: RNAcentral